GCCUCGGUUGCUUAGGGGUAAAAGCAUUAUAUUGAAGCUAUAAAUAUGGAAGUUCAACUCUUUCCCGGGGCA
This 72-nucleotide transfer RNA is filed under the name Flammulina velutipes. RNAcentral's name for it is "tRNA-Phe". It matches the Rfam family "tRNA". From Rfam's summary of the family: Transfer RNA (tRNA) molecules are approximately 80 nucleotides in length. Their secondary structure includes four short double-helical elements and three loops (D, anti-codon, and T loops). The record is from RNAcentral. Lineage: Eukaryota; Fungi; Basidiomycota; Agaricomycetes; Agaricales; Physalacriaceae.